Molecule: long non-coding RNA, 266 nt
Filed under: Serinus canaria (Common canary)
Lineage: Eukaryota; Metazoa; Chordata; Aves; Passeriformes; Fringillidae
Description: lncRNA (ENSSCAG00000016388.1)
Source: RNAcentral
CUUCUAUGACGGCAACGUGGCCAUCUACAACCUGAAGAAGGCAAGCCCCCAGCCCAGCUACAAGAGUGGUGCUAAGUCAGGAAAGCACACAGAGCCAGUGUGGCAGGUCAAGUGGCAGAAGGAUGACAUGGACGGCAAUCGCAACUUCUUCUCUGUCUCCUCGGAUGGGCGGAUUGUUUCAUGGACUUUAGUUAAGAAUGAGCUGGUUCACAUGGAUGUCAUCAAGCUGUCAGCAGAUGAAACAACGAUGCAGGGGCCAGAGGGGC